RNAcentral lists this ribosomal RNA (1341 nucleotides) under uncultured bacterium. Its description in RNAcentral is "partial 16S ribosomal RNA". It matches the Rfam family "Bacterial small subunit ribosomal RNA", at positions 28 to 1381 of the family's 1533-position model. The record is from RNAcentral.
GACGAACGCUGGCGGCGUGCUUAACACAUGCAAGUCGAACGGUAAGGCUCCAGCUUGCUGGGGUACACGAGUGGCGAACGGGUGAGUAACACGUGGGUGACCUGCCCUGCACUUCGGGAUAAGCCUGGGAAACUGGGUCUAAUACCGGAUAGGACCGCACCGUGAGGGUGUGGUGGAAAGUUUUUUCGGUGUGGGAUGGGCCCGCGGCCUAUCAGCUUGUUGGUGGGGUAAUGGCCUACCAAGGCGGCGACGGGUAGCCGGCCUGAGAGGGUGGACGGCCACAUUGGGACUGAGACACGGCCCAGACUCCUACGGGAGGCAGCAGUGGGGAAUAUUGCACAAUGGGCGGAAGCCUGAUGCAGCGACGCCGCGUGGGGGAUGACGGCCUUCGGGUUGUAAACUCCUUUCACCAUCGACGAAGGGUUUCUGACGGUAGAUGGAGAAGAAGCACCGGCUAACUACGUGCCAGCAGCCGCGGUAAUACGUAGGGUGCGAGCGUUGUCCGGAAUUACUGGGCGUAAAGAGCUCGUAGGUGGUUUGUCGCGUCGUCUGUGAAAUUCCGGGGCUUAACUCCGGGCGUGCAGGCGAUACGGGCAUAACUUGAGUACUGUAGGGGAGACUGGAAUUCCUGGUGUAGCGGUGAAAUGCGCAGAUAUCAGGAGGAACACCGGUGGCGAAGGCGGGUCUCUGGGCAGUAACUGACGCUGAGGAGCGAAAGCAUGGGGAGCGAACAGGAUUAGAUACCCUGGUAGUCCACGCCGUAAACGGUGGGCGCUAGGUGUGGGUUUCCUUCCACGGGAUCCGUGCCGUAGCUAACGCAUUAAGCGCCCCGCCUGGGGAGUACGGCCGCAAGGCUAAAACUCAAAGGAAUUGACGGGGGCCCGCACAAGCGGCGGAGCAUGUGGAUUAAUUCGAUGCAACGCGAAGAACCUUACCUGGGCUUGACAUAUACAGGAUCGCGCCAGAGAUGGUGUUUCCCUUGUGGCUUGUAUACAGGUGGUGCAUGGUUGUCGUCAGCUCGUGUCGUGAGAUGUUGGGUUAAGUCCCGCAACGAGCGCAACCCUUGUCUUAUGUUGCCAGCACGUUGUGGUGGGGACUCGUAAGAAACUGCCGGGGUUAACUCGGAGGAAGGUGGGGAUGACGUCAAAUCAUCAUGCCCCUUAUGUCCAGGGCUUCACACAUGCUACAAUGGUCGGUACAGUGGGUUGCCAGUCCGUGAGGGCGAGCUAAUCCCGCAAAGCCGGUCUCAGUUCGGAUCGGGGUCUGCAACUCGACCCCGUGAAGUCGGAGUCGCUAGUAAUCGCAGAUCAGCAACGCUGCGGUGAAUACGUUCCCGGGCCU